GGCUUGAUUGUAUUAUUAAAUUAAUUCUUAAUAACUACAAAUUAAGCC
This 48-nucleotide non-coding RNA is filed under the name Drosophila melanogaster (fruit fly). Its description in RNAcentral is "K10 TLS RNA from Drosophila melanogaster (PDB 2KUR, chain A)". It matches the Rfam family "K10 transport/localisation element (TLS)". Rfam says of the family: This family represents the 44 nucleotide K10 transport/localisation element (TLS) from Drosophila melanogaster. K10 TLS is responsible for the transport and anterior localisation of K10 mRNA and acts to establish dorsoventral polarity in the oocyte. Lineage: Eukaryota; Metazoa; Arthropoda; Insecta; Diptera; Drosophilidae. The record is from RNAcentral.